AAAAAGAGAAAAGAAAAGAAAAAGAAAAAGAAAAAGAAAAAAAAAGAACAGACAAAAAAACAAGAAGAAAAAGGGAACAAGUUAUGCAGCUGGUAUGACGUUUCAACAACAAUCUCCUUUUUUUUCUUUUGUUGUUUGUUGUUGUUUGUUUGUUUUUGGUUUAAUGCCCAAACCCAAUCAUUUCACUUUGAUUAGAAUACUAAUACCUGCAAUAGUAAUGCUUGUGAGCAGUGGCAUGUGGGUUAUGUUGGUACAAUUGAAACAUGUUCACAUUGUAAUAAAUGAUGAAUUUAUGCAUAACAAAGCAUUAGAUGUAAUAGUUGUAAACUCGUUGCUAACAUCAUUAGGAGCUUAUUAGUGUGGGACAUUCAUGAUUGAGAUGCAUUUCACCAAGAUAUGUGCAAAGAGACUUGCAAUUGAGUUAUGUCUCAUUUCAAACAUUCUUUUGCACAAACUUGUAUGUUUGUUUGUGAUGUUGUGACAACUUUUCUUGCAUUUUUGAGUGUCAAUGAAUUGUGGGCCAACUCAUUUCCAUAUUUAGGAGCAUAGAAAUAAAAAUGAAUUGAAACAUUGCUGAAGACUUGAAUUACAAUGGUCAACUGAUUCAGUAAUUUUUUCUAUUCACUUUGAUUUUGUUUAUGUUUGUCAACAUUUUUUUUAUUCAGGUGGUAGUUAUUUACAUUGAAAGUACUCUUUUUGCUUAAAAGGUUGUGCAAGAAUGUUUGCAGGAAAUUUGAAAUUAAAAAGAAUGAUUCAGAUCUUUUACAGUUAUUAAAGAGCAUUCAUAUCUAUUUAGAAAUAUUUAGAAAUUUUCUUUUAGCAAGGAUUGAAGAAUUUGAGUACUUGAUGAGCUUUUGGAGCAUAAAAGUGUAAAAUUGGAUGUUUGAAAAAACUUUGUAAUUAAGUUGUGCACACAUUUUUAAAUUCUUUACAGUGAAAAAAAAAAAAAAAAAAAAAAAAAAAACACUAUAUGGUUUAUUUGAAUUCAAGAAGCAUAUAAGGUGGUUUGAACUACAUUCAAUCAUCAUCUAAACAUCAGAAAAAAGAAUGAAGAUAAAUUUACUACUAUAUAUUUUAAUAGAAUGAGUACACAGAAAAAAAGAAAAAAGAAAAAUAUUUUUGAAAGGUAUCAAUAACAAUAAAGCAGCUUUGUAAGAGAAAAUUUGCUAGGUAAACAAAAUAUAAAUGUUUUUAGAAAUAAUUUGUUAUUUUUUAGUAGUAAAAAAUAUACCUAUGAAUUAAGUAAUGUAGGUUAAAGAAUACUUUUGAAAGCAAUGGAAAUAUACAAUUUUUAGAAAACUAAUUACAUAGUUUAAAUAGAUUUUGUUUUUUAGCUGAUUAUUUGUUGUUACAAAAUUUUAAAUGACACAUUUUAUUUAUUUAUUUAUUUUUCAAUCAAUGAUGAUUUAACAUUAAUAUUUCACAAUUAUAAUUUAUACAUUAGGUUUUUUCUUAUCAUUCAU
This 1463-nucleotide long non-coding RNA is filed under the name Physcomitrium patens. RNAcentral describes it as "long non-coding RNA (PPAT_LNC012600)". Lineage: Eukaryota; Viridiplantae; Streptophyta; Bryopsida; Funariales; Funariaceae. The record is from RNAcentral.